This is a long non-coding RNA of Xenia sp. Carnegie-2017, 570 nucleotides long. RefSeq lists it as uncharacterized. NCBI's taxonomy places the organism in Eukaryota, Metazoa, Cnidaria, Anthozoa, Malacalcyonacea, Xeniidae. The record is from RefSeq and is a predicted model, not a curated record. The transcript is spliced from 3 exons.
AGGUUGCCUGAAAGUUUUUCAAUUUUGCCGCCGGCUGCUUUUAUAGUGAAAAGACGCAUCGCAUGUGAUUCGUUUGGACGCUCGCGAAAUAUAUAUAAUGAGCUGUGAUAUACACUUAUUUAAUGCAAAUAUCCAGUAUUCUUCGCAAUAUGCUUCAACGGAGAGGCCAUUCAGUUGACACAACAAGUGUAUAUGUGUAAUCUAUUAAAGACUUGAUAUACAUGUUGCGUACGAAACGGUGAUUUAUGAAAAAGCUGUGACACCUUGCGAUUUACGCUUUAAACUUCUCUACUGAUCACAAGGCAAAUUUAGAAGACAAUAUGCGACAACAUUUACACCCACAGCUAGACCAAGUUAGCAAACAAUAGCUUUGUCGUAUGUGAAUGGCGUUCAGUCAGUGAGAAAAUUUUCCAUUGGAGGUUAAGUUUAGCCUCGGCACCAGUCCAUUCUCUCUGUUCCGAGACUUCUUGUUCGGUGAAGUGGACGUGCUCGGAUUCGAUUUCUUGACGCAUGUAGGUCAUUACGAACCGGAAGUAUGGUUGUCCAAACACUUGUUUCCAAAUCAUUUAC